GGUAAGCUGUGGCCAGCAGCCGCGGUAAGACGGAGGGGGCAAGAGGUAAUCGGAUUUACUGGGCGUAAAGGGCGGGUAGGUGGUAAGGCAAGUAAGAUGUGAAAGCCCUGGGCUUAACCGGGGAAGUGCAUCUUAAACUGCCUAACUAGAGGAUGGUAGAGGGUAGCGGAAUUUCCGGUGUAGCGGUGAAAUGCGUAGAGAUCGGAAGGAACGCCAGUGGUGAAGACGGCUACCUGGACCAAUACUGACACUGAGGCGCGAAAGCGUGGGGAUCAAACAGGAUUAGAUACCCUAGUAGUC
This 300-nucleotide ribosomal RNA is filed under the name uncultured Microscilla sp. RNAcentral's name for it is "bacterial SSU rRNA". It matches the Rfam family "Bacterial small subunit ribosomal RNA", at positions 495 to 795 of the family's 1533-position model. Lineage: Bacteria; Pseudomonadati; Bacteroidota; Cytophagia; Cytophagales; Microscillaceae. The record is from RNAcentral.